ACGCUGGCGGCAGGCCUAACACAUGCAAGUCGAGCGGUAGAGAGAAGCUUGCUUCUCUUGAGAGCGGCGGACGGGUGAGUAAUGCCUAGGAAUCUGCCUGGUAGUGGGGGAUAACGUUCGGAAACGGACGCUAAUACCGCAUACGUCCUACGGGAGAAAGCAGGGGACCUUCGGGCCUUGCGCUAUCAGAUGAGCCUAGGUCGGAUUAGCUAGUUGGUGAGGUAAUGGCUCACCAAGGCGACGAUCCGUAACUGGUCUGAGAGGAUGAUCAGUCACACUGGAACUGAGACACGGUCCAGACUCCUACGGGAGGCAGCAGUGGGGAAUAUCGGACAAUGGGCGAAAGCCUGAUCCAGCCAUGCCGCGUGUGUGAAGAAGGUCUUCGGAUUGUAAAGCACUUUAAGUUGGGGGGAAGGGCAUUAACCUAAUACGUUAGUGUUUUGACGUUACCGACAGAAUAAGCACCGGCUAACUCUGUGCCAGCAGCCGCGGUAAUACAGAGGGUGCAAGCGUUAAUCGGAAUUACUGGGCGUAAAGCGCGCGUAGGUGGUUUGUUAAGUUGGAUGUGAAAUCCCCGGGCUCAACCUGGGAACUGCAUUCAAAACUGACUGACUAGAGUAUGGUAGAGGGUGGUGGAAUUUCCUGUGUAGCGGUGAAAUGCGUAGAUAUAGGAAGGAACACCAGUGGCGAAGGCGACCACCUGGACUAAUACUGACACUGAGGUGCGAAAGCGUGGGGAGCAAAC
This 745-nucleotide ribosomal RNA is filed under the name uncultured bacterium. RNAcentral describes it as "bacterial SSU rRNA". It matches the Rfam family "Bacterial small subunit ribosomal RNA", at positions 33 to 773 of the family's 1533-position model. The record is from RNAcentral.